CUUCAUUCCAGAUCUCCAGCACAGGAACGCGCAUAUCGCCGCGUCCUUGGUCUGGAAUGAUGAUCACGCGAAUUGGGAGUGUCGAGUGCUCUGGGAAAAUAGCGAUGCCCGCGCUGUCGUCAUGCGCGCGCUCAAUACGAAUGUUUCAGGAAGCGCACUGAACGCAGAUUGAUUUUCUGCAUCGAUUUUCAUCACGCCGGCGUGAGCCGAACAAACCACAGCAUUGAAGCCCCCCGAUCCCUCAUGCGCGCACAACAAGCAACAAUUUGCCGACGCGCAUUCAUUUCACGC
RNAcentral lists this unclassified non-coding RNA (291 nucleotides) under Hevea brasiliensis (rubber tree). Lineage: Eukaryota; Viridiplantae; Streptophyta; Magnoliopsida; Malpighiales; Euphorbiaceae. The record is from RNAcentral.